This 1522-nucleotide long non-coding RNA is filed under the name Scleropages formosus (Asian bonytongue). RNAcentral describes it as "lncRNA (ENSSFOG00015033145.1)". The record is from RNAcentral. Lineage: Eukaryota; Metazoa; Chordata; Actinopteri; Osteoglossiformes; Osteoglossidae.
AUAACGUUUUGCGCGCAGCGUAUAAAUGUAACUGUGCGGGACGCCGGUGCGAGGCAGGCGAAGCGAAGCGAGGUGAAGCGAGACGCUGAGGUGGGAGGACCCGCCGGAUGUGGAGCCCUCCGCCGCCCAGCGCGAGCGUCCCUCCGAGGCCGGAGACAGCGCGUGAGUCCCUUCCGGGAGCGAGCGCCUGUGCAGCGGGGAGCGCGCGCGGGGGGAACGCGGCGGAUCGGCGUGUGGACGUUUCGAGCGACGCUGCGGCAACAUUGUAGCGACGACCGGCGGCGGGAGGAAGCGAACAGAGCGCAAAGACGGCGGCAGCGGCAGAAGCGCGUUUCACCGGUGCUUGUCGUACUUGGAAGGGGAACCUCAUAUUACGUACUUAACUGUGCCUUUCAAGACCUUGUUAUGUUGACGCACGGCGACGUUCGCAGAAGAACUGUAGACACGCACCGAACUCCCCCGUUGGGCGCUGCCCAGAUAAUGCGGUCCGAUGGUUCGACAGCGGUCGUCCGGAAUUGUACGGCGAUGAUGUCGUAGCCCACGUCCUGGGGUGUGGGUGUAGACGCGACGGCGGGCGGGGUCGCCCUCUGAUCCGUCAGACAGCCGCGAACACGUGGGGCCCUUCGAGCUCUUUCAGGCUCGGCCCGUCGGCUCGAGCGCGACAAACCCGCUUCCCUCAUCGUUCAACGUCAGCGCACCUCCCGAGGACUGCUUUACCACGGUAGGCAGAACGAGAGGAGAUCCGUCCUUAUCCGAGCAUAAAUAGCUUUGGACGAGGCUACUAAUUGCCGGUCAGGCAUGUUCCCCCCCCCCCCCUCGCACCCAUGACCCUGCAAACAAACCGGCUCCGUGCGCACGCUCUCCUGUGACCCGAAGGCCGCUGAAGAGAGACUCCGCUGCUCGGCACGAGGUCGCUGUACCGCUGCUCCAAAAAAGCGGUGACCGUGGUUGAAGUCACAAGUGUGUACCUUGAGAAGGCCUGAAUUUGUUGAAGAAAUGCAGCCUAUUCAUCCAGGAUAGGCUCUGGACCACUGCGACCCUGCACUGGACCGGUGGUUGAGGACAAACAUUCUUCAUAAGCGCUCUAAAUGAUUCUGGAAAGGAAGGGGCACGAUGAACCCUGGAAUGACCAGGCGGUGUCUCCGCUAUGUUUAUUAAGUGCGACAGGAAGUUAUACUAGGUUAUUUAUUUAGCUGAUGCUUUUCUCCAAAGCGACUUAGUAUUAAGGUUACAAUUAUUUACCCAUUUAUACAGCUGGGUGAUUUUACUGGAGCAGUUCAGGGUAAGUACUUUACUCAAGGGUACUACAGCCAGAGAUGGGGAUCGAACCUGCAACAUUCUGAUGCAAAGGAAGCAACUCUAGCCACUACACUACCAACUGUCUCGAAGUUACUGGGCACAGUGUAUAUUUAACCCUUUCCAGGUGGUACAGAGAUUCCGUUGUGUGUCUGUCAUGUCAACAUGUUGAAGAGUUUAUAUGUCACAGAAAUAGAGUAAUAAAUUUACACUGUUUUCGUUUUCA